This 305-nucleotide unclassified non-coding RNA is filed under the name Hevea brasiliensis (rubber tree). Lineage: Eukaryota; Viridiplantae; Streptophyta; Magnoliopsida; Malpighiales; Euphorbiaceae. The record is from RNAcentral.
ACAGUAUAAGGCCUUUAUUUGAAGGUAAAGUACACAGAAAACUAGAUCUGAUAUAAAAGCAACUAAUUGGGAUUUCUGCAAAACAACUAGCUUGAAUUAUGCUCUUGUUAUCAUAUGUUUAUUUUAAUGAUAGCUUUUUGGUCCACUUUGUUUUAUUCUGAAGCAGUAUUGGUUAUGAAACUUGCUAAGCCUUGAAAUAUUUAAUCAUAUUUGUUUAAUCUUUUAAGAAAUUUCAGUAAAUAAUUAAACAAGAAGAAAUUUGAUUAAACAUACUAUUUUUAUUUAUUGAAUAUGAGUUCUGUUAA